Rhinolophus ferrumequinum (greater horseshoe bat) is the source of this 751-nucleotide long non-coding RNA. RefSeq lists it as uncharacterized. The record is from RefSeq and is a predicted model, not a curated record. The transcript has 3 exons. NCBI's taxonomy places the organism in Eukaryota, Metazoa, Chordata, Mammalia, Chiroptera, Rhinolophidae.
GCGCGCUCGCGCCGCCCCAGCGCCCGCCACUAAGGGGGCCUGCGGGAGGGGCGCCGCGACCUCGGCGCCCCCUGGCUGCCCGGCGAGGCCCCUCCGUAGCUUCAGUGCUGGCCAGGGACGGAUUAGGAAGCCGGGGCUCAGAGACCAGGCUGGAGGGUCAAGGUCACUCAGCGGGCGCGGGGAGGAUCCCAGUAGAAGAGACCGGGGCCUGGAGUGACCGUAGGCCGGCGCGCGUCGUCUGGAGAAACUGAAGUCAGCACGGCUGGUCACUCCUGCCAUGCCCAGGUUAUCUUCCGGUGGUUUGGCCCAGGGCAAGCCCAGAGGGAGCCUGGAGCUGUGAUGCCCUGUACGUGACCACAAGGGACUAACGAUGAGGACAGUGAACCCUCAUCUUUUGGGCCCAGCUCUCAUGUCGCCGCCUCCAGGAAGGAGUCUCUAAUCUCAUGCUGCUCAGCCGCCUGGCUGGGCCCCUGCAGGCCCCCAGCACCCCUGCUCAAUCUGCUUUGCAGAGAACUGGGAAAAGAAGAAAAUACCGCGUGAGACACGCUUCUCCUCCUGCCUGGUCCCUGAAUGGUUCAGCCCCAGGGCUGGGGCCAGCUAUAUAACUCCAGAACAAAAACGUGGGAUACACUGUUCAAGAAGCAGGAAAAAUGUGUCCUUAAAAGUACUGAAACAUAAAACGUUUUCCUUCUGUGGUCUCUCUUUUGACUUCUCAAGGUGUUUUGUUUUUUGAUUUGCGAUUUGAUGUCAU